UACGAAGGUGGCUAGCGUUAUUCGGAAUUACUGGGCGUAAAGCGCGUGUAGGCGGUGCGAUCAGUCAGGGGUGAAAUCCCAGGGCUUAACCCUGGAAUUGCCUUUGAAACUAUCGUGCUAGAAUCAUACAGAGGAUAGUGGAAUUCUUAGUGUAGGAGUGAAAUCCGUAGAGAUUAAGAGGAACACCAGUGGCGAAGGCGGCUAUCUGGGUAUGUAUUGACGCUGAGACGCGAAAGCGUGGGGAGCAAACAGG
Molecule: ribosomal RNA, 253 nt
Filed under: uncultured bacterium
Lineage: Bacteria
Description: partial 16S ribosomal RNA
Rfam family: Bacterial small subunit ribosomal RNA
Source: RNAcentral